Molecule: ribosomal RNA, 410 nt
Filed under: Bombina orientalis
Lineage: Eukaryota; Metazoa; Chordata; Amphibia; Anura; Bombinatoridae
Description: partial 12S ribosomal RNA
Rfam family: Bacterial small subunit ribosomal RNA
Source: RNAcentral
GCCCCACCCACCUAGAGGAGCCUGUUCUAUAAUCGAUAACCCCCGCUUAACCUCACCACUUCUUGCCAAUACCGCCUAUAUACCACCGUCGCCAGCCCACCCCGUGAGGGAAAUAGUAGGCACAAUGAUAAGUCACCAAAACGUCAGGUCAAGGUGUAGCGUAUGAAGUGGGAAGAAAUGGGCUACAUUCUCUAACCUAGAGCACACGAAAAAUCAUAUGAAAUUAGAUCAGAAGGAGGAUUUAGUAGUAAAAAGAAACAAUAGUGUUCUUUUUAAGUUGGCCCUGGGGCGCGCACACACCGCCCGUCACCCUCUUCAACUAAUAAAACACGAUUUAUAAAACAUAAAACAAACACAAGAAGAGGUAAGUCGUAACAUGGUAAGUAUACCGGAAGGUGUGCUUGGAAUUA